RNAcentral lists this long non-coding RNA (632 nucleotides) under Lotus japonicus. RNAcentral describes it as "long non-coding RNA (LJAP_LNC000450)". The record is from RNAcentral. Lineage: Eukaryota; Viridiplantae; Streptophyta; Magnoliopsida; Fabales; Fabaceae.
AGGGCUUGGUGGUGUAACCACGGGAGGUGUUGGUGUAGGUGGUGUAACAAUCGGUGGGGUUGGUGUAGGUGGUGUAACAAUAGGUGGUGAUGGUACAACUGGGGGUAGUGGAACAUAAGGUGGAGGGUAAACAAUUGGUGGUUUCACAAUAGGAGGUGUUGGAACAUAAGGUGGAGGGUAAACAAUUGGUGGUUUCACAAUAGGAGGUUUUGGAACAUAAGGUGGAGGGUAAACAAUGGGUGGUUUUGGCACAUAAGGUGGUGUCACCGGUACAACCGGUGGCUUAGGCACAUAUGGCGGUGUAACUGGUACAACAGGUGGUUUUGGCACAUAAGGUGGAGAAACAACUGGUGGCUUAGGAACAUAAGGUGGUGGUUUCACAACUGGUGGUUUAGGCACAUAAGGAGGUUUCACAAUUGGUGGUUUGGGAACAUGGGGUGGUUUUGGCACAUAAGGUGGUUUCACAAUUGGUGGUUUUGGAACAUGGGGUGGUUUCACAACUGGUGGUUUUGGCACAUGAGGUGGUUUAACCACUGGAGGCUUGGGAUAGUGAGGUGGUUUUGGUGAUGGCUUGGGGGGUGGACAUGGUUCCGGGCCAUGAGAUGGAGGGUACUUUGGGGGGUUAUGAACUG